CCUACGGGUGGCAGCAGUGAGGGAUAUUGGUCAAUGGGGGAAACCCUGAACCAGCAACGCCGCGUGAGGGAAGACGGUUUUCGGAUUGUAAACCUCUGUCCUCUGUGAAGAUAAUGACGGUACCUCUUGAAUAAGCCACGGCUAACUACGUGCCAGCAGCCGCGGUAAUACGUAGGUGGCAAGCGUUGUCCGGAUUUACUGGGUGUAAAGGGCGUGCAGCCGGGAAGACAAGUCAGAUGUGAAAUCCCGCGGCUCAACCGCGGAACUGCAUUUGAAACUGUUUUUCUUGAGUACCGGAGAGGUCAUCGGAAUUCCUUGUGUAGCGGUGAAAUGCGUAGAUAUAAGGAAGAACACCAGUGGCGAAGGCGGAUGACUGGACGGCAACUGACGGUGAGGCGCGAAAGCGUGGGGAGCAAACAGGAUUAGAUACCCUAGUAGUC
This 440-nucleotide ribosomal RNA is filed under the name uncultured bacterium. RNAcentral's name for it is "partial 16S ribosomal RNA". It matches the Rfam family "Bacterial small subunit ribosomal RNA", at positions 338 to 795 of the family's 1533-position model. The record is from RNAcentral.